CAUAUGGGUAGUGGAGCGUGCGGCCUGACGAAAGAAACACAUGCAGGAGUGCUAUAUUAAGUCACCACCCAACUAAUAUAGCACAUCACUGACUUAAUUCGUCUAUGCCCUAGACGUUCCAAGACAUACCGGAUCAAGCAUCACAAAGUCCCUCUCCUGUAAUGACAGGGCUCGACCCCACCGUUAUUUCUCGUACUCAUGAUUAUCUCAAGUAACACAACCGAGAUAACCGGCCGGGCAAUUAGUCACAAGACUUACGUGGUGUGUUAUCGAAACAUCUUCCUCAGCCCCUCACGUUCAUCCAUAUUGGUCCAAGCACUUUACUAGACAUGCUCCACGAGAUCGUAUUUACUAACUUGAUAAGUAAAU
This 369-nucleotide long non-coding RNA is filed under the name Ananas comosus (pineapple). RNAcentral's name for it is "long non-coding RNA (ACOM_LNC009289)". The record is from RNAcentral. Lineage: Eukaryota; Viridiplantae; Streptophyta; Magnoliopsida; Poales; Bromeliaceae.